GACCAGGAGGUUGCUGAGCUGAGGAGGAGAGAUGUUGAAUUGAAGCAGCUCUCACACACAGAGGAUCACAUCCAUUUCCUCCAGAGUUUCCAGUCUCUCUGUGUCUCUCCUGGAUCUGAGGUCUUACCCAGUAUCACUGUCUAUCCACACAUCUCCUUUGAGCAUGUAAAGAAAUCAGUCUCUGAACUGAAAGAUCAAAUACAGGAUGUUUCCCAAAAGGAAAUGGACAGGAUAUCUUGGGAAGUGACUACAGGUCAGAUUGGAUCACCUGCUGAGCCCAAGACCAGAGAGGAUUUCUUAACAUGUGAGGAAAUACAACCACACACACACACAC
This is a long non-coding RNA of Esox lucius (northern pike), 334 nucleotides long. RefSeq lists it as uncharacterized. The record is from RefSeq and is a predicted model, not a curated record. The transcript has 3 exons. Lineage: Eukaryota; Metazoa; Chordata; Actinopteri; Esociformes; Esocidae.